AUUGGCUGCUGUUGAGUCACAAGGUGAUGUCUACCUUCUUUGAGUAUGCUCAGCGCGUGCCAUCAUGGGGCCAUGUUCUUCCCCUUUGCUCUUGGAGAAUAGACAAAGCUACCCAGCCCAGCCACAGCCUCAUAAUCUUGUUCUACCUCCCUCUCCAGCCUCAACUAUUUCCAGGCUCCAGCUCAAGUCAUACAUCAGGAUGGCUUUUCUAUGCAGAUAACUUGACACACAGAGCCCAACUUUGGUCCUGAAUUCUGAGAACCACAGUUCAGAAUAGACGCUAAAACGUCUCAAUGUUAGCAGCCUUCCCCUAUGACUUUAUGAAGUGCAGCCCUACAGGAGAACUCAGGAAGCCACAUCUUCCAUCUGUCACCUUCUGACUGUUGAUCCUGUGAGUUCACAGGCCAGGGGGAUGCUGG
RNAcentral lists this long non-coding RNA (419 nucleotides) under Homo sapiens (human). RNAcentral describes it as "HSALNT0197226". The record is from RNAcentral. Lineage: Eukaryota; Metazoa; Chordata; Mammalia; Primates; Hominidae.